GACGAACGCUGGCGGCGUGCUUAACACAUGCAAGUCGAGCGGAGCGUCGAACGGGUGAGUAACGCGUGAGUAACUGCCCUCCUCUCUGGGAUAACCGUUGGAAACGGCUGCUAAUACCGGAUAGUGGGGGAUGAUUCGCGUCCUAUCAGCUUGAUGGUGGGGUAGUGGCCUACCAAGGCGACGAAGGGUAGCCGGACUGAGAGGGCGACCGGCCACAUAGGGCUGAGGUACAGGCCAAACUCAUACGGGAGGAAGGAAUGGGGAAUAGUGCACGAUGGGGGAAACCAUGAUGCAGCAACGCCGGGUGCGAGAGGACGGCCUUCGGGUUGUAAACCGCUUUCAGCCAUGACGCGGUAGUGGAAGAAGAAGCACCGGCUAACUACGUGCCAGCAGCCGCGGUAAUUC
Molecule: ribosomal RNA, 405 nt
Filed under: uncultured bacterium
Lineage: Bacteria
Description: partial 16S ribosomal RNA
Rfam family: Bacterial small subunit ribosomal RNA
Source: RNAcentral